GCCUCCCAAAAGGUAACGGAGGCGCGCAAAGGUUCUCUCAGUACGGUCGGAAAUCGUACGUAGAGUGUAAAGGCAAAAGAGAGCUUGAUUGCAAGACAUACAGGUCGAGCAAGGAUGAAAAUCGGACUUAGUGAUCCGGUGGUUCUGCGUGGAAGGGCCAUCGCUCAACGGAUAAAAGCUACCCUGGGGAUAACAGGCUUAUCUCCCCCAAGAGUCCACAUCGACGGGGAGGUUUGGCACCUCGAUGUCGGCUCAUCACA
Molecule: ribosomal RNA, 260 nt
Filed under: Clostridioides difficile
Lineage: Bacteria; Bacillati; Bacillota; Clostridia; Peptostreptococcales; Peptostreptococcaceae
Description: partial 23S ribosomal RNA
Rfam family: Bacterial large subunit ribosomal RNA
Source: RNAcentral